RNAcentral lists this ribosomal RNA (483 nucleotides) under uncultured bacterium. RNAcentral describes it as "bacterial SSU rRNA". It matches the Rfam family "Bacterial small subunit ribosomal RNA", at positions 28 to 507 of the family's 1533-position model. The record is from RNAcentral.
GAUGAACGCUAGCUACAGGCUUAACACAUGCAAGUCGAGGGGCAGCACAGUGUAGCAAUACACGGGUGGCGACCGGCGCACGGGUGCGUAACGCGUAUCCAACCUUCCCGUUACUCUUGGAUAGCCUUCCGAAAGGGAGAUUAAUACAAGAUGGUAUUCAAAUUCCGCAUGUUAUUUGAAUUAAAGAUUUAUCGGUAACGGAUGGGGAUGCGUGACAUUAGGUAGAUGGCGGGGUAACGGCCCACCAUGCCUACGAUGUCUAGGGGUUCUGAGAGGAAGGUCCCCCACACUGGAACUGAGACACGGUCCAGACUCCUACGGGAGCAGCAGUGAGGAAUAUUGGUCAAUGGUCGGAAGACUGAACCAGCCAAGUAGCGUGAAGGAUGAAGGUUCUAUGGAUUGUAAACUUCUUUUAUACGGGAAUAAACCACUACGUGUAGGUGCUUGUAUGUACCGUAUGAAUAAGCAUCGGCUAACUCCGUG